Molecule: ribosomal RNA, 486 nt
Filed under: Fusarium sp. AQG4
Lineage: Eukaryota; Fungi; Ascomycota; Sordariomycetes; Hypocreales; Nectriaceae
Description: eukaryotic LSU rRNA
Rfam family: 5.8S ribosomal RNA (bases 117-270)
Source: RNAcentral
UACCAAUUGUUGCCUCGGCGGAUCAGCCCGCUCCCGGUAAAACGGGACGGCCCGCCAGAGGACCCCUAAACUCUGUUUCUAUAUGUAACUUCUGAGUAAAACCAUAAAUAAAUCAAAACUUUCAACAACGGAUCUCUUGGUUCUGGCAUCGAUGAAGAACGCAGCAAAAUGCGAUAAGUAAUGUGAAUUGCAGAAUUCAGUGAAUCAUCGAAUCUUUGAACGCACAUUGCGCCCGCCAGUAUUCUGGCGGGCAUGCCUGUUCGAGCGUCAUUUCAACCCUCAAGCCCCCGGGUUUGGUGUUGGGGAUCGGCGAGCCCUUGCGGCAAGCCGGCCCCGAAAUCUAGUGGCGGUCUCGCUGCAGCUUCCAUUGCGUAGUAGUAAAACCCUCGCAACUGGUACGCGGCGCGGCCAAGCCGUUAAACCCCCAACUUCUGAAUGUUGACCUCGGAUCAGGUAGGAAUACCCGCUGAACUUAAGCAUAUCAAU